Molecule: ribosomal RNA, 253 nt
Filed under: uncultured bacterium
Lineage: Bacteria
Description: partial 16S ribosomal RNA
Rfam family: Bacterial small subunit ribosomal RNA
Source: RNAcentral
UACGGAGGGUGCGAGCGUUGUCCGGAAUCACUGGGCGUAAAGGGCGCGUAGGCGGCCUGGUAAGUAGGGGGUGAAAUCCUGCGGCUUAACCGCAGGGCUGCCUUCUAAACUGUCAGGCUCGAGCACAGUAGAGGCAGGUGGAAUUCCCGGUGUAGCGGUGGAAUGCGUAGAUAUCAGGAGGAACACCAAUGGCGAAGGCAGAUCUCUGGGCCGUAACUGACGCUGAGGAGCGAAAGCAUGGGGAGCGAACAGG